GAGAUGGAAAUAAAAUCAAAGGACGUUAGGCGAUCAACGCGAAAAACGGGGUUCAAACGGAGAAAGGGAAAUGUUGAGGCAUUUUCUGGAGAGUGGGGUUCAAAUGGAGAUUGGAGUUGAAGAUUAUAUCCAGGAUGAGGUCCUCAGGAUAAUUUUCUGUUCAUGUGUCACCUUACACUUUGGCUGAGGCCAAUGGAGGUCGUUAUGGGUGUCUUCUGAGGAAGAGAUGCACAUGUUACCUUCCUUUUGUGAAGGUGUA
This 259-nucleotide long non-coding RNA is filed under the name Lathyrus oleraceus (garden pea). Its description in RNAcentral is "Pisum sativum (pea) long non-coding RNA (PSAT_LNC007179)". Lineage: Eukaryota; Viridiplantae; Streptophyta; Magnoliopsida; Fabales; Fabaceae. The record is from RNAcentral.